GGUUCCAUGAUGAGAGGAUAAUGACUUCUCUCUGGAGGUGACAGCUGGUGUUGUUGAAUAAAACCUUGGUGUGACCUCAGAACAAACCUUGGUGAGAGUGUUACCUGCGACAAAUUGUACCAAUACCAACAGAGGUGUUGGAAUGCAAGGAAUGAGGACCCAUGAUAGCAAGGAUGGACAUUGGAUAAAUACAGAGUUUGAUCUUGGAAUACAAUUACUCCACUUCAUAGUAAA
Long non-coding RNA from Haliotis rubra (blacklip abalone), 234 nucleotides. RefSeq lists it as uncharacterized. The record is from RefSeq and is a predicted model, not a curated record. Lineage: Eukaryota; Metazoa; Mollusca; Gastropoda; Lepetellida; Haliotidae. The transcript is spliced from 2 exons.